RNAcentral lists this ribosomal RNA (292 nucleotides) under uncultured Bacteroidota bacterium. RNAcentral's name for it is "uncultured Bacteroidetes bacterium partial 16S ribosomal RNA". The record is from RNAcentral. Lineage: Bacteria; Pseudomonadati; Bacteroidota.
GGACUACCCGGGUUUCUAAUCCUGUUUGAUCCCCACGCUUUCGUGCCUCAGCGUCAAUGCUUGCUUAGUAAGCUGCCUUCGCAAUCGGUGUUCUAAGUCAUAUCUAUGCAUUUCACCGCUACAUGACUUAUUCCGCCUACCUCAACAAUAUUCAAGACCUAUAGUAUCAAUGGCAGUUUCCGGGUUGAGCCCGGAGAUUUCACCGCUGACUUACAGGCCCGCCUACACACCCUUUAAACCCAGUGAAUCCGGAUAACGCUUGCACCCUCCGUAUUACCGCGGCUGCUGGCAC